AUAUGAUUCUUUGUGAACUCAUAGCAUCGUUGUCACUGUCAUCACAAUCAUCACUGCCAUCACCAUUGUCACCAUCAUCAUUACAGUCACCACUGUUGUCAAGAUGGUCACUGCCAUCACCAUCAUCACCAGAAUCAUCACCAUCAUCACCGCUAUUACUUUCAACACUACCAUUGUCACCACCAUCAUCACCAUCAUCAUCUCAAUCGUGACCAUCAUCACCAUCAUCAUCAUAUACUCUUGUAUUCCCAGUAACACCAAUCUGAGCACCUUGAAGCUAAACUCUGUAGAGUAAAAUCCUGUGGUACCAAGACGCAGCCACAGUAACACAAUCACAGCUGGGUACUGGCUCCCAUGUUCUGCCCAGCUUCUGUCUGUGGAUCAAAGUUCCUUUCUUCUUCAGGAGAAGGAAUGGGGCUAGAAAGUGACCAGGAUUUUCUCAGAUCAUGUCACCUUGAUGCUUCCCUGAAGCUGCAGGAGUCUCACUUCCAGCUGAAGGUGUCUGCAGGCUUGUCAUUCCUGGAUGUUGCUAUUUAUGCUGGUCACCCACUGAGGAUGUGGAAACUUCAGGUGCCUGCAUGAUCACUGAACAGCGUGGAUCUGGUGAUGCUGAUGGCUGCUGGGUGAGGACCUGAAGUGGCAGCAGAGGUGCUGGGAAAGGGUAAGAAAAUUGAGACAUAUGUUGAAUGUGGGAGGUUAGGAUGGACUGUGAAGCCUCAACAGGGAUCUCGAGCAGAGAUGCCUCAUUGACAGAACCUAUGGAGUUAAGUGCCUACUCCCUCAGUCGCCCCUGCAGGGUUCACCUGCAAAGUUAAUAGCAACAUUUUCUGUAGCAAUCUUGUUAUAAGAAACACACCAACCCCAAACAGGAAAUGUGACAUCUAAGAAGCUUUGUAGACAGAGAAUUACCAACCAUUUACUAACUUAUCUUGUUCUAUGUGGGCAAAUGAAAAAUUAAGCCAAGUCCAGGGAUCAGCUCAUCUUCCAGCAGAGCCAUACAUUAGAAAUUCAUUUUCUUCUCAG
Molecule: long non-coding RNA, 1023 nt
Filed under: Vulpes vulpes (red fox)
Lineage: Eukaryota; Metazoa; Chordata; Mammalia; Carnivora; Canidae
Description: lncRNA (ENSVVUG00000004573.1)
Source: RNAcentral